GAUGAACGCUGGCGGCGUGCCUAACACAUGCAAGUCGAGCGAAGCACUUUGCUUAGAUUCUUCGGAUGAAGAGGAUUGUGACUGAGCGGCGGACGGGUGAGUAACGCGUGGGUAACCUGCCUCAUACAGGGGGAUAACAGUUAGAAAUGACUGCUAAUACCGCAUAAGACCACAGCACCGCAUGGUGCGGGGGUAAAAACUCCGGUGGUAUGAGAUGGACCCGCGUCUGAUUAGCUAGUUGGUAAGGUAACGGCUUACCAAGGCGACGAUCAGUAGCCGACCUGAGAGGGUGACCGGCCACAUUGGGACUGAGACACGGCCCAAACUCCUACGGGAGGCAGCAGUGGGGAAUAUUGCACAAUGGGGGAAACCCUGAUGCAGCGACGCCGCGUGAGCGAAGAAGUAUUUCGGUAUGUAAAGCUCUAUCAGCAGGGAAGAAAAUGACGGUACCUGACUAAGAAGCACCGGCUAAAUACGUGCCAGCAGCCGCGGUAAUACGUAUGGUGCAAGCGUUAUCCGGAUUUACUGGGUGUAAAGGGAGCGUAGACGGAUGGGCAAGUCUGAUGUGAAAACCCGGGGCUCAACCCCGGGACUGCAUUGGAAACUGUUCAUCUAGAGUGCUGGAGAGGUAAGUGGAAUUCCUAGUGUAGCGGUGAAAUGCGUAGAUAUUAGGAGGAACACCAGUGGCGAAG
Molecule: ribosomal RNA, 692 nt
Filed under: uncultured Lachnospiraceae bacterium
Lineage: Bacteria; Bacillati; Bacillota; Clostridia; Lachnospirales; Lachnospiraceae
Description: bacterial SSU rRNA
Rfam family: Bacterial small subunit ribosomal RNA
Source: RNAcentral